CAAUAGUUUCGUCUUACAAUUGGUCUGGGAUUUAUGUGUUGAUCAUGGUCAUGUAAAUACAUCAUUAAAUAAAGAGAGAGACGCUUGUUUUUGGUUGAGUCCAUUAUGUUUUAUUUAGGGGUGAAAUGUAAAACCUUUAUUUACAAUUUAUAUAACAUUUAAUGUUUUCGGUAAUUUUAAGAUUUGUGUUAAUUCUGGAAUUGUUUCAACAUAUUUUUUCGGGGAUUAAAUUGUGAUUAAAACAAUUAAAGUCAGAACUGCAAUGGAAAUAACUUAGUCCACACCUAUGUUGAUUUGAUCACGUGACAAUGUAAGCCAAUGAAAAAACAUCAACAAACAGGCAGCCAUUAAGGAAGAGAGAGGGUUUAUUUCAGAGCGAUAAUUUAAAUGUACUAGCAAGUUUAAACUGCAUUAUGUGCUUGUGAAGUUUAAAAGUUAAGUGUAGAUGUGUUUAUGGAGUUCAAGUAUUGGUAUUGGCACAACUAAGGCGUUGGGAGGCACAGAUAUAGCGAAGUGUUCAUGUUUGGCUUUGUGGAGUUGAAGAGUCGAUAUU
This is a long non-coding RNA of Ruditapes philippinarum (Manila clam), 553 nucleotides long. RefSeq lists it as uncharacterized. Lineage: Eukaryota; Metazoa; Mollusca; Bivalvia; Venerida; Veneridae. The record is from RefSeq and is a predicted model, not a curated record. The transcript is spliced from 3 exons.